RNAcentral lists this ribosomal RNA (467 nucleotides) under uncultured bacterium. Its description in RNAcentral is "partial 16S ribosomal RNA". It matches the Rfam family "Bacterial small subunit ribosomal RNA", at positions 28 to 507 of the family's 1533-position model. The record is from RNAcentral.
GAUGAACGCUGGCGGCGUGCUUAACACAUGCAAGUCGAACGGAAAGGCCUCUGCUUGCAGGGGUACUCGAGUGGCGAACGGGUGAGUAACACGUGGGUGAUCUGCCCUGCACUUCGGGAUAAGCCUGGGAAACUGGGUCUAAUACCGGAUAGGACAAUGGUUUGGAUGCUGUUGUGGAAAGUUUUUCGGUGUGGGAUGAGCUCGCGGCCUAUCAGCUUGUUGGUGGGGUAAUGGCCUACCAAGGCGUCGACGGGUAGCCGGCCUGAGAGGGGGUACGGCCACAUUGGGACUGAGAUACGGCCCAGACUCCUACGGGAGGCAGCAGUGGGGAAUAUUGCACAAUGGGCGCAAGCCUGAUGCAGCGACGCCGCGUGGGGGAUGACGGCCUUCGGGUUGUAAACUCCUUUCGCUAGGGACGAAGCGUUUUUGUGACGGUACCUGGAGAAGAAGCACCGGCUAACUACGUG